RNAcentral lists this ribosomal RNA (405 nucleotides) under uncultured bacterium. RNAcentral's name for it is "bacterial SSU rRNA". It matches the Rfam family "Bacterial small subunit ribosomal RNA", at positions 355 to 774 of the family's 1533-position model. The record is from RNAcentral.
UGGGGAAUAUUGGGCAAUGGGGGAAACCCUGACCCAGCAACGCCGCGUGAAGGACGAAGGCCUUCGGGUUGUAAACUUCUUUGAUCAGGGACGAAACAAAUGACGGUACCUGAGGAACAAGCCACGGCUAACUACGUGCCAGCAGCCGCGGUAAUACGUAGGUGGCAAGCGUUAUCCGGAUUUACUGGGUGUAAAGGGCGUGUAGGCGGUCUUGCAAGUCGGAAGUGAAAUUCCCGGGCUUAACCCGGGCGCUGCUCCCGAAACUGCGAGACUUGAGUACUGGAGAGGAUAGUGGAAUUCCUAGUGUAGCGGUAAAAUGCGUAGAUAUUAGGAGGAACACCAGUGGCGAAGGCGGCUAUCUGGACAGUAACUGACGCGGAGGCGCGAAAGCGUGGGGAGCAAACA